RNAcentral lists this ribosomal RNA (357 nucleotides) under Podon intermedius. RNAcentral describes it as "partial 16S ribosomal RNA". The record is from RNAcentral. Lineage: Eukaryota; Metazoa; Arthropoda; Branchiopoda; Diplostraca; Podonidae.
UUCACUUAUUAUGUGGUAAUUAAAAAGAGUGUUAUUUUAUUCUCUUUGUCGCCCCAACCAAAAUCUCUUGAAUUUACCCCUUAUUACUUCAACUAAAACAAUAACUCAAGAAAUUUAAGCUCUAUAGGGUCUGAUCGUCCUUUAAAUUUAUCUGGGCCUUUUCACCCAGAAGUGAAAUUCAAGUGUCAUAAAAGAGACAGUCACCUUCUCGUCUUGCCAUUCAUACCAGCCUCUAAUCAAGAGACAAAUGAUUAUGCUACCUUAGCACGGUCAGAAUACCGCGGCCAUUUACAUAAUACGCAUUGAGCAGGCAGUACCUCUUACUUUUCAAGAGGAGAUGUUUUUGAUAAACAGGCG